GGAUAACACUGACGUUCAUGCCCGAAAGCGUGGGUAGCAAACAGGAUUAGAUACCCUGGUAGUCCACGCCCUAAACGAUGUCGAUUAGCUGUUGGGCAGCUUGACUGCUUAGUAGCGAAGCUAACGCGUGAAAUCGACCGCCUGGGGAGUACGGUCGCAAGAUUAAAACUCAAAGGAAUUGACGGGGACCCGCACAAGCGGUGGAUGAUGUGGAUUAAUUCGAUGCAACGCGAAGAACCUUACCUGGUCUUGACAUGUCGCGAAUCCAGUGGAAACACAGGAGUGCCUUCGGGCAUGAACGUCAGUGUUAUCC
Molecule: ribosomal RNA, 313 nt
Filed under: uncultured bacterium
Lineage: Bacteria
Description: bacterial SSU rRNA
Rfam family: Bacterial small subunit ribosomal RNA
Source: RNAcentral